Molecule: ribosomal RNA, 459 nt
Filed under: uncultured bacterium
Lineage: Bacteria
Description: partial 16S ribosomal RNA
Rfam family: Bacterial small subunit ribosomal RNA
Source: RNAcentral
CCUACGGGAGGCAGCAGUGAGGAAUAUUGGUCAAUGGGCACGAGCCUGAACCAGCCAAGUCGCGUGAGGGAAGACGGUCCUAUGGAUUGUAAACCUCUUUUGUCGGGGAGCAAAAGACGCCACGCGUGGCGUUCCGAGAGUACCCGAAGAAAAAGCAUCGGCUAACUCCGUGCCAGCAGCCGCGGUAAUACGGAGGAUGCGAGCGUUAUCCGGAUUUAUUGGGGUUAAAGGGUGCGCAGGCGGAAGAUCAAGUCAGCGGUAAAAUUGAGAGGCUCAACCUCUUCGAGCCGUUGAAACUGGUUGUCUUGAGUGAGUGAGAGGUAUGCGGAAUGCGUGUUGUAGCGGUGAAAUGCAUAGAUAUCACGCAGAACUCCGAUUGCGAAGGCAGCAUACCGGCGCUCAACUGACGCUCAUGCACGAAGGUGUGGGUAUCGAACAGGAUUAGAUACCCCAGUAGUC